Molecule: ribosomal RNA, 253 nt
Filed under: uncultured bacterium
Lineage: Bacteria
Description: partial 16S ribosomal RNA
Rfam family: Bacterial small subunit ribosomal RNA
Source: RNAcentral
UACGAAGGGGGCUAGCGUUGUUCGGAAUUACUGGGCGUAAAGGGUUCGUAGGUGGCCACUUAAGUCAGACGUGAAAUCCCUCAGCUUAACUGGGGAACUGCGUCUGAUACUGAGUGGCUUGAGUGCAGGAGAGGAAUGCGGAAUUCCAGGUGUAGCGGUGAAAUGCGUAGAUAUCUGGAGGAACACCGGUGGCGAAGGCGGCAUUCUGGACUGUAACUGACACUGAGGAACGAAAGCCAGGGGAGCAAACGGG